UCUGUGAGUAUUAAGGCAGCAAUUGCAGGCAUUUGUCCUUUGGUAAAUCCUUUCUGAAGUCUGCUUUGUUGUUUGAUUACUGAAUCUUGGUUGUUUUGAAGGUGUAGCUUCUCUACAAUUUUUCCAAUGAACAUAGUGAUGACAAUUUUUCUGUAGGAGUUUGGAUCCGUUUUCUUUUUUCCUUUUUUCAAAAUUGGACAGGCUAUUCCACUCUUUAGUAAUG
RNAcentral lists this long non-coding RNA (223 nucleotides) under Mytilus galloprovincialis (Mediterranean mussel). Lineage: Eukaryota; Metazoa; Mollusca; Bivalvia; Mytilida; Mytilidae. The record is from RNAcentral.